RNAcentral lists this long non-coding RNA (6481 nucleotides) under Olea europaea subsp. europaea. Lineage: Eukaryota; Viridiplantae; Streptophyta; Magnoliopsida; Lamiales; Oleaceae. The record is from RNAcentral.
CUGUGGAUUCGACACCCCAAAACUGUACUACAAUCAUCACGUCAAUCUUUGGACGUAAUCAAAGACUUUAUUAAUAGACAAAACUCUUCUUUCUCUCGACUUCUCCCUAUGCAAAUCUAGAACUUGCUAAUGUACAUCACACACCUACACAUAUCAUUAUUCUAAUUUCACUCUCUACAUUUUUGGACUAAUUUUCUUUCUUUAAACUCUCACAAUUUUGAAUGAAUGUAAUGUUCCUUUUCCGUAACCACAUUACCUUGGUGCCAAAUACAAUUCUUCUCAAUGCAAUGCCAUGAAUUUACAGAAAAGACUCUUAAAAUAUCUUGAUAAAUUUCCUUCUCCUAUUCAUGACACAUCUUCACACCCAUAUUGGCACCCCUUCAUCGGUAAAUGCUCCAGUUUUUCAAUCAAUUGUAAUAGACCUGUUGGUCUCAGAUCCCUUUGAAACUUUGCAUUUCUUUUGUUAAAAACCAGAGAACGUCGAAAAAUAAUAGGAAGAUAAAGGAACAUGAAGAAUUAAUGCGAAAGGCUCGGAGGUUCAACGACCGCUUCUAACGCUUAGUCCCUCGUUGAGCAUCCAUUAAGAUAUCACUCAGAUUCACUAGAACGGCCCAAAAACAAGCAAGAACAACAAUUAUAGAAAACACCAAGUGUUCGAAUAUCUCUUUCUCUCAACUGCCUCACUAACAUUCCACAAAGGAAUCAAAUGACCUGAAUGAAGACAACUACUAUUGAUUAACAGCCCCCAAGAUUCACUCAAGAAUCUAGAAAAAAAAAAUUACCUAGAAGGUGAAACCCUCACUGGAAGCAUGAAGCCAAACAAGAAUACAAAGGGGCUAGGGUUUUCUCCCACCCUACACUAAAGUAACAACAAGUGGUAUAUGUAUCAUUUCAAUUCCAUCAUGCAUCCAAUGGUAGUAAGCCUUCCACACGUCAGACAUCCAUUCCAUUAAGUUUAUAAAAGCAAUAAUUGCAUUUUAAGAAAAACGAUUUCACCCAUCUAGAACCUUCAUGUAAGUGGGAUGAUUUAUUGGGCUAAAUAUUUGAACCAGAUUAGAGGACCAGCAAAUGCCUCUUGGGCUCAAAUUUCAACAUACCCAAUCUUUAUAAUCUUCACCUUGCUGUAAUUUGAGACCGUUACUAAGUAGACUUAAACAAAACUAACUUCAUUUGCUCUUAUUACCUGUUCACAAAGAAAGGAAGAAAUUAGCAAACUUCAAAAUUCAACCAUCUUAAAGAAUCACUAAAUUUACUAAGUGGUAUUACCUUUGUACCUGUAUCAGCAUGAUUAACCUUAGUAGGAAUUUUAAUAAACUUGAUAUCUCCCUAUAAACUAUAUCUCUAAUGAAAUGAAAUUCAACAUCUAUAUACUUGGAUCUAUCAUGAAAAACUAGGUUUUUACCACUUUAAUUAUUUGAAUAUAGCUCCACCUGAUGUUUCAUAAGUCCUAGUUCAUUCAAUAAACCUGUUAGCUAUAAACCUUCUUUUACUGCUUUAGUUGCAGCCAUAUAUUCAGCCUCAAUUGAAGAUAGAGCAACUAAUUUUUGAAACUGAGAUUUCCAACUGAUGCAUGUGUUAUUCAUCACGUAAAAAAUUAUGCAGUUGUAGACUUCCUAUUAUCCAGGUUUUCAACAAUAUCAAAAUCAACAAACCCUUUUAGUUUAAGGCCAUCUACAUACUUUUAAACAUAUGUCCUAAUUGACUAGUGCCUUUGAAAUAUUUGAUCAGAUUUUCAUAGCUUUUCAGUGAAGUUCACCUAGAUUACUCAUAAAUCUACUUAACACACUUACAGUAUAUGCAAUAUUAGGUCUAGAACAUACCAUUACAUAUAUGACAAAUCCAACAGCAUUAACAUAUAGAACAUUCAUCAUUCUUUUAAGUUUAUCUUUAGUUAUAGGUGAUUGGUUAACAAAUAAUUUCACACAUGCAGAAAAAUGUAAACUAACAGGCUUGGCAUCAUAGAGAAAAAAAAAAUCUUUUUACCACCUUUUCAAUGUAAGGUUUUUGUGUCAGGAAUAGUUUCUCAUUAAUUCUAUUCCUCCUUAUUUCCAUUCCUAGGAUUUUCCUAGCAGGUCCUAAAUCAUUCAUUUCAAAUUCAGAUUUCAACUUUUCUUUUAGAAGGUUGAGAGUAACAGGAUUAUGACUAGUUAGUAACAUAUCAUCAACAUACAGGAGAAGAUAAUAAAAUUCAAAUUCUCCAUUCAUUUUGAAAUAAAAGCAGGGAUCAUAUUCAGAUUUCUUAAACUUCAACCCUUGUAUAAAAGUAGCAAAUCUAUUAUACCAUUUCCUUGAGGCUUAUUUCAAGCCAUAAAGGGAUUUGUUUAGGAGACACACUAACUUCUUCUUUUUCUUUACCUUGUCACAUAUAUGGUUUCAUCUAGGGAACCAUAUAAAAACACAAUUUUUACAUCAAGUUGUUCUAACUCUAGAUCAAAUUGAGUUACAUUGGAUAGCAAUACUCUACUGGAGGUAUAUUUUACUACUGGUGAAAAAAUUUCAGUGUAGUCUACCCCUUCUCUUUGAGUAAAGCCUUUUGCUACAAGUCUUGCCUUAUAUCUUUUGUCAUUUGAUUUUAACGCUUCCUCUUUAAUUUUAUAAACCCAUUUGCAAUCGAUCGAUUUGCAGUCUUUAGGUUUUUCUACGAAGUUUCAGGUUUAUUUUUGCGUAAGUAGUUUAUUUCACCUUCCAUUGCUGCAAUCCAUUUAAGGGAUUUGUUAAAGAAAAUAGCUUCUUCAUAAGAAAUUGGUUCUAUUUCACACGGGCUAGUUUCAAACUCUGUAGAUACAUAAUCUGCAUACUAGAAUCUAGAGGGGGGGUCUUAUUUGUCUCCUUUCUCUACCUCUAGCUACCUAAUAAUCUUGCAAGUCAUGUGCAAGGUUCAGUUCUUGAUUAUCGUCCAGAAUUUCAUUAUCUGGAGUGGUUUGUGGUUCUAUUUGAAGUGGCUCCACCUCAAACUGAAUUUGCUCAAAAGUGUCUUGCUUGUCAAUAUUAAUCUCUGUGAUGAUGAAAUCAUCAUCUCCUAUCUUUUCUCCAGUUUUAUCCCUAAGACAUAGAAAGUCAUUUUCAUUAAAAACCUAAAUCUACUCAUUAUUACCUUAUAGCCUUUGAUAUUCCUUAACCGCAGUCUAUAACCUUUAACUCAUUCUCCAUAUCCUAAGAAAAUACAAUUCAGUGAUCCGAGUCCAGCUUAAAAUCAAUAUGAUGUGCGUAAACUGUACAUCCAAAGGUUCUAAGGUAGGAGUAAUCAGGCAUUGAUCCUGACCAAAUUUGCUCAGGAACUUUAUUAUUUAAGGAGCUCGAGGGACGUCUAUUUAUUAGAUAACAGGCAAUUUUUACUUUUCCCUAGAAAACUUUAGGCAGGCUAAAACUAAUCAUCAAGCAUCUUGUCCUUUCAAGAAUGGUUAUGUUCAGUCUCCUAACAAUUUCAUUUUGCUGAGGUGUAUAUGUUACAGUUUUGUGCCUCAUAAUUCCUUGUUUACUACAAUAUUGAUCAAAUUCAGUAUUGCAGAAUUCUAGGCCAUUGUCAGUUCUUAAAAUUUUAAUCUUCUUACUAGUUUGGUUUUCAAUUAAUGUAUUCCACUCCUUAAAGAUUGUAGAGGUGUUAGCUUUAGAUUCCAACAAGAAAAUCCAGACUUUCCUAGAGUAAUCAUCUAUGGUAAGAAAGUAGGAUCUGUAACCAGAUACUGUAGGUACUAGUGCAGGCCCCCAUAAGUCACUAUAAAUAUAUGCUGGCAUAUUUUGAGACUUGUGUAUUCCUACCCUAAACGGCAAUCUAACCUAUUUCCCCAUUAUACAAUGCUUACAAAAGGUUAAUUUCUGAACACUAUCCCUUCCAAAAGCCCCUUGAUAUGAAAGAGAUUUCAAACCGUUUUCACUAAGAUGUCCUAAUCUCUUGUACCAUAACUCUUAUUUAUUAGAAUGUUUGCAUCAAAACUUACACAACUAUUGGGUAAAAUAGAUUGAGCAUCUAUAACAUAUAUUCCAUUGAUUUUGGGUGAACCGACAAUGAGCUUUUGAUCUCUAAAUAUGUUUGUGAAGCCAUUCUUAAUCUCAAUAUGAUAUUUUUCAUUAUCUAGGGCCCCUAAAGAUAUGAGAUUUCUUUUUAAUGCUGGCACAUAUCUAAUGUGUCUCAACAUUAAAUGAUAAACAUUUUUUCAGUUUUAGAAGAAUAUUACCUAUGCCCUUAAUUUGGCAUGGCUCAUUAUUUUCAUGUUUCACAAAACCUCCAUCAAGAAUAGAAAAAUCAGAAAGCCGCCUAAUAUUGGGGCUCAUGUGAAAUGAACUGCUUGAAUUCAGAAUCCAAUUCUGAUUAGACCUUCCAAUUGUAGAAACAUAUGCAACACCAAUAUAAGCUCCUGCUUCUUUACAAUAAGCAACAAUGGAUAGAAACCCAUUAUCAGAGUUAGGCCCUCUCUUUUGGUCAUUAGCCUUCUUAAAACUGUCUUUAAUUGUAACACUUUUUGUUCUUUGCCUUUCCCUUAUUAAAUUUCUUGUCUUUUCCUUUGUUAUUGCCCAUUUUUUUCUUAAUGAUUUUUUUGUCCUUAUUGUUAUUGGAUUGACUAAAAUUGCUAACACCAUUGACUUGAGGUUUUUGAUUGCAUGAGACAUUCUCAACAUGUAGAACCUCCCUAUGUUCAGAUUUCAAUUCCAACUCUCUGUUCAAAAGAAAGCUAUGGAUUAUAUCAACAGUUAAGUAACUUCUACCAUAUUCCAAAGCAUUUCUUAUGUAUUUAUAUUUUUCUCCUAAUGCAUUAAGUAGACUCACCAUGUUUUGUUCAUCAUAGAUCUUUUCACCACAAUUUAUAAGAUUUUGAGUAAUCCUAUAAAAUCUUUUUAUGUUUUCUUCCGACUCAAUACUAGGGUCAAAUUUAAAACUAAAAUACUUCCUCCAAAGAAAAUAUUUAUUUGGUGGAGUCAUUGUGAGAUACUUUUUCUCUAAAACACUCCACAACUCUACAACUGUCUUAGUUUCUCCUACUUUCCUAAUUACAGAGUCAGAUAAGUGGAGAAACAUAGUACUCCAUGUUGACUCAUCUUGUUCAGUUUUCCUAUCAGAACUUAAGCUUUCUAGCCAAGAUUCAUCAAUAGUUUUAGCACAUUUUAGUUGUAGCAUAAGAGCUUUUAUUUUUUGGCAUCUGAGAGUAAAGUCUCCUUUGCCAUCCCAAAUCAGAACAUCUAUUUUAGAAGUCAUACUGUGCAAUAGUAUAGUAAUUAUAUUUAAGCGUGAUAUAAACAAGAAUAUAUCAAGUAAGUUAGUAUCAGAUAAACAGUUUAUAAGAAAGAUGAAGCAAUCUAGACUUGAGAAAAACUAAUACGAGAUUAAUAGUUAAGCAUACUUAUACCCAGGAAGCAAUAAAACAAUUCAACAUGUAUGAUAUCAAGAUUAUUCACAUGCAAGAAAAAAUAUUCCACAAGCAGAACACAAUUGGAGUAUCAAUGCAGAGACUAACUAUAUCCAACAGUUCAGGUACAUGAAAUUAAACCCAAGACUAAAAUUAUAGCACACACUGAGUGGCAAAUCAUGGACUUCAAGAGUCACUUAAAGCUUUUUUGGAUUUCUUCAAGCAAAGGCACUGAUUCCCUCAUAUUCUAGGGUUCUCUAAGGGAUCCUGGGGAUCCCUAGACAAAAGCAAAUUUAGGGUUGUAUUCAUAAAACCCUUUGUUUGCAAAAAAUCGUUUAAGAGAUUCCUAAAGGAACAGGGUUUAAGGAUGUUACCAGAACUGUGAAUACAAAAAGGAUACCCUACAAUAUCACAAGUCAACUCCAAGUUCAAAUAGAAGGAGUUUCUUUGAACAAUAACAGUAGAUUAUCAAUUUUAAACAAAAGAGUCUAACCAAAAACACAGAUCGAGGGUUUUGAAACAGAUUUGAAAAGGAAAAAUGAUUUUCGCUCUAAUACCACUGUUGGUCUCAAAUCCCUUUCAAACUUUGUAUUUCUUUUGUUAAAAAUCAGAGAACGUCGAAAAAUAAUAGGAAGAUAAAGGAACAUGAAGAAUUUUCAGCCAAAGGCCCGGAGGUUCAGCGACCGCUUCUAAUGCUUAGUCACCCGUUGAACAUCUUUUAGGAUAUCGCUCAAAUUCACUAGAAUGGCCCAAAAACAGGCAAGAACAACAAUUACAGAAAGCACCAAGUGUUGAAUGUCUCUUUCUCUCAACUGCCUCGCUAACAUUCCACAAAUGAAUCAAAUGACGAGAAUGAAAACAACUACUAUUGAUUAACAGCCCUCAAGAUUCACUCAAGAAUCUACAAAAGAAAUUCACCUAGAAGGUAAAACACUCACUAGAAGCACGAACCCAAACAAAAAUACGAAGGGGGUAAGGUUUUCUCUCACACUACACUAAAGAAACAACAAGUGAUAUAUGUAUCAUUUCAAUUCCAUCAUGCAUCCUACGAUAGUAAGCCUUUCACACGUCAGACAUCCAUUCCACUGAGUUUAUAAAAGUAGUAAUCGCAUUUUAAGAAAAAUGAUUUCAUCCAUCUG